RNA transcript from Bombus impatiens (common eastern bumble bee), 1805 nucleotides. It is a transcript of the gene named hsp90 co-chaperone Cdc37, with no coding region annotated. The record is from RefSeq and is a predicted model, not a curated record. NCBI's taxonomy places the organism in Eukaryota, Metazoa, Arthropoda, Insecta, Hymenoptera, Apidae. The transcript has 6 exons.
UAUGUUUAUUAAUUUCGUACGAAUUAAUUUAAAUAAUUGAGAGUCACUGGUAUGAUACAUCGAACGAUUAUCUCGUGCGAAUAUGUUCUAUGUUCACACCAAUGUAGUUGACAAUUAAACUUCGACAAGUAAGGGCGUCGUAUUUCUGCUUUUAUAAAAAUAAAAAAAUAAAAGAAACUUUAUACACAAGUCAUAUUUAUAAACUAAUCAGUUCCAUAAGGAUACAUUAUUGAAUAGAAAGUACGUUUAACCGGCUGAACGAUGGUGGAUUAUAGCAAAUGGAAAGAUAUUGAGAUUUCAGACGAUGAGGAUGAUACUCACCCAAACAUUGAUACACCAUCAUUAUUUAGAUGGCGUCAUCAAGCAAGGGUUGAAAGAAUGGAAGAAAGGAGACGUGAGCAAGAGGAGCAUCAAAGGAAAAAGACAGAAACUCGACAAAAAAUGAAAGAAACAGAGGAAAAAAUUAAAAAAUUAGAAAAUGAACAAAAGGAAGCAGAUUUAACCGAACUAAAAAAAAUUUUGCAAGAUCUUGAAAAAGAAGAUUUAAAGAUUAAAGAAAGGGAAGAGGAAAUGAAGAAAAAAGAGAAAUUAACACCUUGGAAUGUUGAUACUAUUGGACAAGAUGGUUUUACAAAAACAGUGAUUAAUAAGAGAUCACCACGUAAAGGAGAUGACAAUGGGUUGUCAGAUGAAGAGAAAGAAAAAAAAAUGAAAGAAUUUGCAAAAGAAAACGAGAAGAAGUUGAAAGAAUUUGGUAUGCUCGGAAGGUAUGAAGAUAGUAAGAAAUUUUUACAAGAUAAUCCCCAGUUAGUAUGCGAAAAUACUGCAAAUUACUUGGUUAUCUGGUGUAUUAACCUAGAAAUAGAAGAAAAACAUGAUCUAAUGGAACACGUCGCGCAUCAAUGUAUAUGUAUGCAAUAUAUUUUAGAAUUAUCAAAACAACUAGAUGUUGAUCCAAGAGCAUGUGUAGGUUCCUUCUUUAGUCGUAUUCAAAAUGCUGAGUUAGAACAUAGAAAUUCUUUCGAAGAUGAAUUGAGAGCAUUUAAAGAAAGAAUACGUAAAAGAGCUGUUGAAAAAGUAGCAGAUGCCCUUAAAGAAGCUGAGGAAGAGGAGAAAAAAGCGCGUCGAGGUCCAGGUGGUCUUGACCCUCUUGAAGUAUUUGAAAGUCUACCAGAGCCUCUACAAAAAUGCUUUGAAACCCAAGAUCAUGCUUUAUUGCAAGAAACGUUAGCAGUGAUGCCACGAAAAGAAGCAUUCUAUCACAUGAAACGAUGUGUUGAUAGUGGUCUUUGGUUACCAGAUGCAAUAGCUAAAGAAUUGAUAGAGGCAGGAGUAACUGCGGAUGAUGCAGAGGCUAAAGAAUUGAUAGAGGGAGGAGUAGCUGCAGACAAUGUAGAAGCUAAAGAUUUGAUAGAGGAAGGAGUAACUGCGGACGAUGUAGAAGAAACCUCGGCGGCCAAUCCUGAAUAACGCGUGUCUGUAAAUUACAUAUGUUGACUUUCAUGACUCAUUUAUGCAAGUAUAUAUAUAUAUAUAUAUAUAUACAUAUGUAUAUAUAUAUAUAUAUAAUCCAUUUACAUUUUCUAUAAAUGUAUCAUUAUAUAAAGUAUAACACAAAGAAAAUAUAUUUAUUGAUUAUUGAAACUAUGUAUAUGUGCUCGAUUAACGCACAUCAUAUAAAUCUUUAUAUUUCUAAUUGAUGAAUGAGUUAAUGUUAAUGCUUUAUAUUUUAUUUCUUAUACUUUAAUAGAUGUUAAUCAUUUGUAUUAUCUCCUUAAUAAAACUGCUUUUCAUUACAAAUAAAU